This 567-nucleotide ribosomal RNA is filed under the name Colostethus panamansis. RNAcentral describes it as "partial 16S ribosomal RNA". It matches the Rfam family "Bacterial large subunit ribosomal RNA", at positions 1817 to 2597 of the family's 2925-position model. Lineage: Eukaryota; Metazoa; Chordata; Amphibia; Anura; Dendrobatidae. The record is from RNAcentral.
CGCCUCUUGCCUCCCAUAAGAGGUCCAGCCUGCCCAGUGACUCUGUUCAACGGCCGCGGUAUCCUAACCGUGCGAAGGUAGCGUAAUCACUUGUUCUUUAAAUGAGGACUAGUAUGAAUGGCCCCACGAAGGCUACGCUGUCUCCUUUUUCUAAUCAAUGAAACUAAUCUCCUCGUGAAGAAGCGAGAAUAAUUUUAUAAGACGAGAAGACCCUAUGGAGCUUUAAACAACUGAAAAAUUGCAUACUUUUAACUUCUACCUCCCGAGAUCCCCUUCUUAUUUAAGCACUUUUUUCCCAGUUUUAGGUUGGGGUGACCACGGAGCAAAAUUUAACCUCCACGACGAAAAAGAUCCUCUUUUAGCUAAAAGCUACUCCUUUAAGCAUCAGCAAACUGACUUCUUUUGACCCAAUAAAUUGAUCAACGAACCAAGUUACCCUAGGGAUAACAGCGCAAUCUACUUUAAGAGCUCAUAUCGACAAGUAGGUUUACGACCUCGAUGUUGGAUCAGGGUAUCCUAGUGGUGCAGCCGCUACUAACGGUUCGUUUGUUCAACGAUUAAAACCCU